RNAcentral lists this small nuclear RNA (140 nucleotides) under Aotus nancymaae (Ma's night monkey). Its description in RNAcentral is "U4 spliceosomal RNA (ENSANAG00000003478.1)". It matches the Rfam family "U4 spliceosomal RNA". Rfam says of the family: U4 small nuclear RNA (U4 snRNA) is a component of the major U2-dependent spliceosome. The structure of U4 snRNA from yeast and human has been reported. Lineage: Eukaryota; Metazoa; Chordata; Mammalia; Primates; Aotidae. The record is from Rfam by way of RNAcentral.
AGCUUUGCACAGUGGCAGUAUUGUAGCCAAUGAGGUUUAUCUGAGGCAUGAUUAUUGCUAAUUGAAAACUUUUCCAAUACCCCUCCGUGACAGCUUGAAAUAUAGUCAGCAUUGGCAAUUUUUGGCAGUCUCUACAGGGA